Sabethes cyaneus is the source of this 196-nucleotide long non-coding RNA. RefSeq lists it as uncharacterized. The record is from RefSeq and is a predicted model, not a curated record. The transcript is spliced from 3 exons. Lineage: Eukaryota; Metazoa; Arthropoda; Insecta; Diptera; Culicidae.
UUGGAAUAAACACUCUAAUAUAAGACGAAUAUAUUAUACCGUGUAUAAACUGCCAGUUUUAAGGAGAUACUUGGAAUAAACACUCUAAUAUAAGACGAAUAUAUUAUACCGUGUAUAAACUGCCAGUUUUAAGGAGAUACUUGGAAUAAACACUCUAAUAUAAGACGAAUAUAUUAUAUCGUGUAUAAACUGCCAG